Molecule: non-coding RNA, 65 nt
Organism: Dipodomys ordii (Ord's kangaroo rat)
Lineage: Eukaryota; Metazoa; Chordata; Mammalia; Rodentia; Heteromyidae
Source: Rfam
GGUAGCUCAGUGGUAGAGUGCUUGCCUAGCAUGCAUGAAGCCCUGGGUUCAAUUCCUCAGUACCA